AAAUUAUCAAGCUAUUGUUAGGUUUUCGAUGGGUUUCUUGUUUUUCCAUAUAACUAACGAAUGUUUUUUUUUUUUUUGCUAAAGAUAACUAACGAAUGUUUCCAUGACCAAGAACGCAUAUAUCAAAAUGCAAAACAUACACAAGAGUAUCAAACGUUUUCUUUAACUUUGUAAGAAAAGAUUUGAUUUGACACGGUUAGAUCAUACCAUUCUUAUUUUCAAUACGAUGUCAAAUAAACUUUUUUGAACAACAACGUUUAAUACUAUGCUUUAUAGGAUUGAUUUUCAAGAAAGGUAUAAUUGCUCAUUGACACACGUUUGACGUCUUAUAUGAACGUAGCCAUCGCGGAUCAUAGUGAUGAUGAUGACGAUGGGGUCAAUGAUAACAGUGUUCUCCACUUGAAAAUGUCGCCGGAAAUUACUCCUAUUAUUAGUUCCUUCCAUUCCUCCUCUCAAGUCUUCAAACAAGUCACCAUGUUUACAAAUCAUAUGUUAAUUGUUCAUAAGAAUCUUAAUAAAUGGCAUUUUCAUAAUUAAUUCUUACAAACCUUAGUAAAUCAAUGUAUAACAAAAAGAGAAAAUACAAAAAAAAACAAGAAUUUGCUCGUAAUGGUCGC
Molecule: long non-coding RNA, 617 nt
Filed under: Capsella rubella
Lineage: Eukaryota; Viridiplantae; Streptophyta; Magnoliopsida; Brassicales; Brassicaceae
Description: long non-coding RNA (CRUB_LNC004795)
Source: RNAcentral